Molecule: ribosomal RNA, 486 nt
Filed under: uncultured bacterium
Lineage: Bacteria
Description: partial 16S ribosomal RNA
Rfam family: Bacterial small subunit ribosomal RNA
Source: RNAcentral
AGUGAACGCUGGCGGCAUGCCUUACACAUGCAAGUCGAACGGCAGCACGGUUGCUUGCACCUGGUGGCGAGUGGCGAACGGGUGAGUAAUACAUCGGAACAUGUCCUGUAGUGGGGGAUAGCCCUGCGAAAGCCGGAUUAAUACCGCAUACGAUCUACGGCUGAGAGCGGGGGCCCGUCGUGCCUCGCCCUUUAGGGUUGGCCGAUGGCGGAUUAGCUAGUUGGUGGGGUAAAGGCCUACCAAGGCGACGAUCAGUAGCUGGUCUGAGAGGACGACCAGCCACACUGGGACUGAGACACGGCCCAGACUCCUACGGGAGGCAGCAGUGGGGAAUUUUGGACAAUGGGCGAAAGCCUGAUCCAGCAAUGCCGCGUGUGUGAAGAAGGCCUUCGGGUUGUAAAGCACUUUUGUCGGGAAAGAAAUCCUUGGCCCUAAUACGGUCGGGGGAUGACGGUACCGGAAGAAUAAGCACCGGCUAACUACGUG